CCCUUAGAUGUCCUGGGCCGCACGCGCGUUACACUGAUGCACUCAACGAGUUUACGACCUUGCCCGAUAGGGUUGGGUAAUCUUUUUAAAAUGCAUCGUGAUGGGGAUAGAUUAUUGCAAUUAUUAAUCUUCAACGAGGAAUUCCUAGUAAGCGCGAGUCAUCAGCUCGUGCUGAUUACGUCCCUGCCCUUUGUACACACCGCCCGUCGCUCCUACCGAUUGAGUGCUCAGGUGAAUAAUUCGGACUGCAGCAAUGUUUGGAUCCCGAACGUUGCAGCGGAAAGUUUAGUGAACCUUAUCACUUAGAGGAAGGAGAAGUCGUAACA
Molecule: ribosomal RNA, 326 nt
Filed under: uncultured eukaryote
Lineage: Eukaryota
Description: partial 18S ribosomal RNA
Rfam family: Eukaryotic small subunit ribosomal RNA
Source: RNAcentral